Molecule: unclassified non-coding RNA, 298 nt
Filed under: Hevea brasiliensis (rubber tree)
Lineage: Eukaryota; Viridiplantae; Streptophyta; Magnoliopsida; Malpighiales; Euphorbiaceae
Source: RNAcentral
AUAAUAAAUACAAGGCGUUAAUGAUAAUGGGAUGGUCAGUUGCCGGUUCGUUUGUUGUAAUAUUGUUGGUCGGUGGAGUGAUCUCGUUUUGCAUUUUCAAGAACAGACAAAAAAACGAUGGUUCCUCGAGAGAUACGAAUAGAAUAGAUCCAGAAAAUCCAGCUCCACAUCAUGAUGAAGGCGGCAUAGAACCUAGUCCACCACAAGAUCAGGUCGAAGAGAUAGAAAAUGAUACACCCAGAAAUCAGAAUGGAGGAGAAGCAGGAAAUGAACCAGCCAGAAGUCAGGUUGCAGGCAA